RNAcentral lists this ribosomal RNA (491 nucleotides) under uncultured bacterium. Its description in RNAcentral is "partial 16S ribosomal RNA". It matches the Rfam family "Bacterial small subunit ribosomal RNA", at positions 30 to 507 of the family's 1533-position model. The record is from RNAcentral.
AUUGAACGCUGGCGGCAGGCUUAACACAUGCAAGUCGAGCGGUAACAGAGAGAAGCUUGCUUCUCUGCUGACGAGCGGCGGACGGGUGAGUAAUGCCUAGGAAUCUGCCUAGUAGUGGGGGAUAACUUGCCGAAAGGUAAGCUAAUACCGCAUACGUCCUACGGGAGAAAGGAGGGGACCUUCGGGCCUUUCGCUAUUAGAUGAGCCUAGGUCGGAUUAGUUAGUUGGUGAGGUAAUGGCUCACCAAGACCGCGAUCCGUAACUGGUCUGAGAGGAUGAUCAGUCACACUGGAACUGAGACACGGUCCAGACUCCCACGGGAGGCAGCAGUGGGGAAUAUUGGACAAUGGGGGGGAACCCUGAUCCAGCCAUGCCGCGCGUGUGAAGAAGGUCUUAGGAUUGUAAAGCACUUUAAGUUGGGAGGAAGAGCAGUUAACUAAUAUUUGACUGUUUUGACGUUACCGACAGAAUAAGCACCGGCUAACUUCGUG